RNAcentral lists this transfer RNA (76 nucleotides) under Chloroflexota bacterium. RNAcentral describes it as "tRNA-Ala". It matches the Rfam family "tRNA". From Rfam's summary of the family: Transfer RNA (tRNA) molecules are approximately 80 nucleotides in length. Their secondary structure includes four short double-helical elements and three loops (D, anti-codon, and T loops). Lineage: Bacteria; Bacillati; Chloroflexota. RNAcentral also lists the same sequence under 2 other names. The record is from RNAcentral.
GGGGAUAUAGCUCAACUGGGAGAGCACCGCGUUCGCAAUGCGGAGGUUGGGGGUUCGAGCCCCCCUAUCUCCACCA